This 5150-nucleotide long non-coding RNA is filed under the name Homo sapiens (human). RNAcentral's name for it is "HSALNT0299581". Lineage: Eukaryota; Metazoa; Chordata; Mammalia; Primates; Hominidae. The record is from RNAcentral.
GGCAAGCCAUGAGGACCCAAAUCAUUCAAAAACCUCCCUCAGAAGGUAAGUUUUAUUUUUUUCCAGAAAUUAAGCUGCAGCUGAUUACAAAUGACAACUGUAAAUAUGCAAAUUAUACUUGCUAUUAAAAGGGUUCCUGCCUUCCUGAAACAAAAUACUGUGUAAGUCCAAUAAUAUGCAGAUGUAGACACAUAAUAAAUAUUGCUUGAUGCAGAAAACUGGUGAGAUGAAUUUUCUAGGUUCCAAGAAAAGCAGAAAAAUAAGCUUGGAAACUUUAAAUCCAGGAACUGAAAAUUAAUUUUGAUUGAACUAAUGUUGAAUUUAUGAUCUUUUGGGAAUGCACUAAGCUGAAUUUACCUCUGUAUUUUUUUUUGAGGCAAAUUGAUAGUACAGAGAUCUCAGAGGAGUGUUUAUAUCACUAAACAAAAUUCUCAAAUAGAAACUUAAAAAUACAACUGAAAAAUUAGUUGCAAACUAAGUUUAUAUUCUCAUCUAAGUACAUACUCUACUCUCUUCCACUAGAAAAUAUUUCAUGGAAACAUGGGAAAACAGGAGCGGGGAGGGGCCCUAUGGCUGUCUAGUGUAAUUCUUUAAUGUUACAGAGGAUGGAACGAAUCCAGAGAGGUUCAAUGACUUGCCCAGGACCAUUCAAUGUGUUAGAUACAGCAUGGACUAUAAUCCAGCAGAGUAAUCAAGUACUGUUUUCAUGACACCAUUAGACCCAUCUCAAUAUUUUAAUGGUCAAUGUUAUAUGUUAACUUGAGUGGGCCACAGGGUGCCCAGAUAUUUGGUCAAACAUUAUUCAUAGAGUGUCUGUGAGAGUAUUUCUUUAUGAGCUUGCCAUUGGAAUCCACAGACUCAGUAAAGGAGUCUGCUCUCUCUGGUGGCACUUAACUAACCAGCUGAAGGCCUGAGUGGAACCAAAAGGCUGCAAUUCCCUCAAGUAAAAGCAAAAGAGAAUUCCUCCUGGCUUACUGCUUGAGUUGGACUGAUCAGUUCUUCUUGGAACUUGGGCCUGCCAGCUUUUGGAACAGAACUUACACCACUGGCUCUCCUGGUUCUCAGGGCUUCAGACUUGUCCUGAAACUAUACCAUGGCUCUUCUGGGUCUCCAGCUUGCCAACUGCAGAUCUUGAGACUUCUCAACCUCCAUAAUCAGGUGAGACAAUUCCUUAGAAUAAAUCUGUUUCUCCACCCCAUCUUGUUGGUUCUCCUUCUCUGAAAAACCCUAAUUUUAAUAUUAAACGAAUCUUUAGCUCAAUAGAGUAAAGAAAAUGGUCUCAGUGGGUAUGGUAGACAUUAUGCACUAGCUACCCAAAAUCCAUUUAACACCUCUCUUUUCUCUUGACUUCCUCUUGCAUAAAGGCUAAAAAGCUAAAAUACAGUUCCUAGCCUCUUCUAUAGCUAAAGGUGGCCAUAUGACACCAUUCUGAACAACAAAGUAAAUGACAUCAUUUUUGAGCAAUAAAGUGUAGGUAGAUAUCCUUAGGAGGUCUUCCCUUUGCUCUUUGCCUCUUAUUACCCCAUCUUUUUUCUCCAGAGCUUAGAUACACUGACUGGGGUUUGGAAGCAUCAGUCAUCUUCAGACUGUAAGGACAAACCCACAUGCUAGGGAUGACUAUGGAGGAAGACAGAAGGAUUUCAGGUCCAUGAUGAGAUCUAUGAGUCGCUGCUGUCAUCUUGGAUUACUUCUCCAGAAUUUUUAGAACAUGCACCCCACCUACUAAAGCUACGUUUAGUUGGGCUAUCUGUUAUUUAUAGCCAAAUCCUUUCCUAAUAUACUAUUGCAGCCCAGAUGUCACCUGUUACAAUAAAACUAAGAUCACUAUGACCCCCAUUUUAAUAAAAGAUCAUCAUUCAUUCACUCAAGAAUUUUCUGAAGAUCCACCAUAUUCAUGGCACCUAAGAGGAACUAAAUUCAAGAGCCUUCUCAUUUCCAACCAAGGAUGCUGGUGGAAAGCUACCUUGCUAACAUUCCAGAUCAUGGUCUGGGAGGAAUCCCAGGGCAGUUUCCCAUGAUUUCUGUCAUUCUUGCCUGUGGCAAAAGGCUAACAAUAAAGUAGAUUGAAUCUUCAGGAGCUAUUAGAAUAUUCAACUUUUCCCACUUAAUUCCCUUAUUUUCAAAAGUUCUUCUUAAGGCAAAAUGGAUCAUGUUCAUGGACUCCUGCAGCAUUAGAAUGAGCUCAGGGUCCUUUCUCAUGCAGUGAGAGCAACUACCUCUCUUGAUUCAUGUUGCCAAUGGGAGUUACAGUGAGUUGUGGUAUACUGGCAGGAGCAUUAGGUUUAGUCAUGACAUCUGGGUGUCAGACUUGGUUUUGCCACUUUUUCCUUUAAGUCCCAGGGGUAAGUCCUGGGAUAAGUCUCAGAGGCAUAUCUCUGAACCUUUCCGAGUUUCACUUCCUAAUUUACUUAUAAUUACUCAGACCAAGAAAGAUAACAAUUACGAAAGAAUUCUAGUGAGGUAAACAUUCUUCCAAAGUAAGAUUUCUUUAGACAAUCUGAUUAUGUGAAAUAUUUCAUAUUGGACCUAAAAAUAAGUAGGUCCAACAUGAAAAAGGUAUAUGAGUAACAGAAGAAAAGUCCAUUCAUUAUCUUCAUGGCAUUUACUUUGUCUCUCCUUUCUCAGAGUAAAAGUUGUUACAUAAGUGAUCUCAAUCUAAUAAUGUGCUGCAGUGGAAAAGCCUUAUGGAGCAAAUGUUAAAGAAACAGAGAGACAUCAUCAAGAUGGCUGACUAGAGGCAGCUGGCACUCAUCUCCUCCACCAAAAAGAAGGAAAACAGUCAGCAGAUAACCACAGGUUAAACAGAGCAUCUAAGAGGGAACAAUGGAAUUCAGCACAAAAGGGACAGGGACUCUCCAAGGCACAGAGAAAGAGGGAAGAUAAGCAGCAGUCUCAGCCGGGAUUGGCUCAGAGCCAGGAAAGGCUCCCCAUUGUAGGGAAAAGAAAGCGAAGUAUCCCGUGACUGAGCCUGUCGUCUGAUGCGUGUUGGUGAAGACCACAGGGAGCACUGGAGGUCAUUUAGUCAAGCCAUGGUAUUUACCAGGAGUCCAUCACUGGGUACAUGACACAGUCCUGUCUUAUGCAGGGACGGAGCAGAAGCAGUAAAAAACACAAUCGACUGUGCUCAAGGAACUUAAAAACCUCGUUUGUGAAAUAAGGUUGAUGUAUGAGGUCACACAGAACCAUGGAAAGAGCACUGGACCAGAAUCAGGAAAUCUAGAUUCUGGCUAAAAUCACUGCUUCAGACAGGUGCGAGGAAAAGAGCAGUGAAGAAAAACAAAACAAAAGUUCCUGCCUCCGUGGAGCUCAAGUUCUAGUUGAAUACACAGAUUUUUUAAAAAACCCAAUGAUAGAAAACUGUCACAUGUAGAUAAAUGCCAAGGAGAGAAACAAGGUCCUUACAGAGAAAAAAAGUUGUCAAGAAAGCUCUUUAGGAUGAGUUGACAUUUAAGCAAUGACCUGAAGGGACUGCUGAAAUGAACGUGUGUAUUUAUAGGCGAUAAAGGCUCAUAUCAGGAGAAAGAGCAAGUGCGAAGGCCCUACGCUAGGAAUGCCCGUGGUAACAGAGGAACAGCAAAGAGGCUAGUGUGACCAAAGCGGAGCAAGAAAGUAGGGGGCAAAACACGAGCUCAAAGACGGAGUGGGAUCACUUACGGCCCUACUGCCAUAUUUGGGUUUUGCUCUGAAGAAGAUAGAAAGCCACUGGAUUUUGAGCCAAGGCAUGAAGGAGUCUGACUUCUGCUUUAAAAGGAUCAUUCUGGCUGUUGUGUAGAGAAUGGGCUAUAAAAAGGUGAAUGGAAGUGGAGAAAAUGGUUAGGAAGUCACUGCUAUAGCCCAGGUGAUAGACAAUGGUGACUCGGAUGUCGGUAGCAGGAGAACUGGGUAGCACAGCCAACAGGCCUUACUUACUGCGGGACGGCUUGUGGGGAAUGAAAGGAGUCAGGAUAAUGCUCGAGUUUUUGGCCGAAGCAAGUGGAAGAUCAUAGCUACCAUUUAUUAAGAUGAGGAAGAAUUUAACAGGAACAAAUUUGGUUACAGGGAGUUGAGAGCAAGUCCAACAGUUCUGUUUUGGUUAAGUUAAAUUUGAAAUCCAAGCCAAGACUAAGAAUGAACAAUUGGAGUUCACAAGAGGAGUUGCGCCUAGAGAUAUAAAUUUAGGAUGAAACAUGACAAAGGCCAUCAAAAAACAAAAAAAGGAGAAGAGGCUAAACAUUUGAGAUGAACCAGAGACUACAAAUGGAUGCUGACUUGUUAUAAAGUUUCUGUAAAGGAAAAAGUGAUGACGAAUUUCUCAAAUCAGGUUUACAUGAAAGAACACGAAGUAUGAAAACACACUGAGUCCUCUGAGACUCUUCCACUGCUCCAAACAGCUCUUACAUGAAAUCUAGUGCACUCUAGCAUGAUUUGGCUUUUUUCCCUCUAAAUAUAUAAAAUUGCAGUUUCAAAUCAGGAGCAAAAUUAUACAUAUAUAUUUGUAAACAAAUGCUAAAUUGCUUUAAGGACAACUAUUUUGCAUUAAGCAGCAACAGUACAUUGUCUAUAUAUACUUAUGUAUAAAUUGGAUGGUAAAAAUAUAAGACAGAAAGUCCUACGUUUAAUUUUUGAAAUUUUAAACAUUUUUAAAUGUGUAUAAUUUGGGAAGGGAUACAAGUUUUAACAAAUAUUUUAAAGUAUAAUGAGAACUUUAGUUGAAAUAAUCCACCAACAAAAAAACCAGGUCAAACACAUCUGAUCUGUUAACUUCUGAAUCAAACCAGCAUGGUUUUUUCCUGGACUAUGAAGCAAAUUAACGGUUUUUUCAAAAUAGGAAAAAUCUUUAUCAGUUUUUUUCCAUCGGUUUAUUUCAUGGAUUCUGAUGGAAUGUUUAAGAAGGAAAAGCUAACAAGAGGAAAUGUCAGCUUGCUUGUCUCUUCCACUGGGAAACUCUUCCUGAUUUCCUAAGAUGACUUCCCUCUUUAGCAGCAUUUAUCAUACUGGAUCAUUAUUUACCCAUUUACUUGCCAUCAUACACAACUGGAUCGUAAAAUACUUGGGAGGGCAGACACAGUGUUUCAUUCAUCACUCUAGUCCUGUACCUGGCUCAAAGCCUGGCAAACAGAAGACACUAAUAAAUCUAUUUCCUUUUCUUAGAGACAAGGUCUCACUCUGUC